This 60-nucleotide transfer RNA is filed under the name Chroodactylon ornatum. Lineage: Eukaryota; Rhodophyta; Stylonematophyceae; Stylonematales; Stylonemataceae. The record is from RNAcentral.
CGCGGGGGCCUGGCUGAAGGCUGCCGCCCAGGAGAGCCCGAACAGUGUCCGCGCGACGAU